RNAcentral lists this ribosomal RNA (497 nucleotides) under uncultured bacterium. RNAcentral's name for it is "partial 16S ribosomal RNA". It matches the Rfam family "Bacterial small subunit ribosomal RNA", at positions 28 to 507 of the family's 1533-position model. The record is from RNAcentral.
GACGAACGCUGGCGGCGUGCCUAAUACAUGCAAGUAGAACGCUGAAGAGAGGAGCUUGCUCUUCUUGGAUGAGUGGCGAACGGGUGAGUAACGCGUAGGUAACCUGCCUUGUAGCGGGGGAUAACUAUUGGAAACGAUAGCUAAUACCGCAUAACAAUGGAUGACACAUGUCAUUUAUUUGAAAGGGGCAAUUGCUCCACUACAAGAUGGACCUGCGUUGUAUUAGCUAGUAGGUGAGGUAAGGGCUCACCUAGGCGACGAUACAUAGCCGACCUGAGAGGGUGCUCGGCCACACUGGGACUGAGACACGGCCCAGACUCCUACGGGAGGCAGCAGUAGGGAAUCUUCGGCAAUAGGGGCAACCCUGACCGAGCAACGCCGCGUGAGUGAAGAAGGUUUUCGGAUCGUAAAGCUCUGUUGUAAGUCAAGAACGGGUGUGAGAGUGGAAAGUUCACACUGUGACGGUAGCUUACCAGAAAGGGACGGCUAACUACGUG